GAGACACCCCUCCAGGGCAAGACUUGCUUCAAUGGGACUUUGGUGCUCACUGAGUCUGCCCCCUGAGUGUGUCCCU
Molecule: microRNA precursor, 76 nt
Filed under: Myotis davidii
Lineage: Eukaryota; Metazoa; Chordata; Mammalia; Chiroptera; Vespertilionidae
Description: mir-9229 microRNA precursor family
Rfam family: mir-9229 microRNA precursor family
Source: Rfam by way of RNAcentral